RNAcentral lists this ribosomal RNA (388 nucleotides) under uncultured archaeon. RNAcentral's name for it is "bacterial SSU rRNA". It matches the Rfam family "Archaeal small subunit ribosomal RNA", at positions 490 to 879 of the family's 1478-position model. The record is from RNAcentral.
CAGGCUGGAGAUUAUUGGGCCUAAGCAUCCGUAGCCGGUUCUGUAAGUUUCCGGUUAAAUCCACUAGCUCAACUAAUGGGCUGCCGGAAAUACUGCAGAACUAGGGAGUGGGAGAGGCAGACGGUACUCGGGAGGAAGGGGUAAAAUCCUUUGAUCUCUUGAUGACCACCUGUGGCGAAGGCGGUCUACCAGAACACGUUCGACGGUGAGGGAUGAAAGCUGGGGGAGCAAACCGGAUUAGAUACCCGGGUAGUCCCAGCUGUAAACGAUGCAGACUCGGUGAUGCACUGGCUUUUGGCCAGUGCAGUGCCGCAGGGAAGCCGUUAAGUUUGCCGCCUGGGAAGUACGUACGCAAGUAUGAAACUUAAAGGAAUUGGCGGGGGAGCAC